AUGAACGCUGGCGGCGUGCCUAAUACAUGCAAGUCGAGCGAACAGACGAGGAGCUUGCUCCUCUGACGUUAGCGGCGGACGGGUGAGUAACACGUGGAUAACCUACCUAUAAGACUGGGAUAACUUCGGGAAACCGGAGCUAAUACCGGAUAAUAUAUUGAACCGCAUGGUUCAAUAGUGAAAGACGGUUUUGCUGUCACUUAUAGAUGGAUCCGCGCCGCAUUAGCUAGUUGGUAAGGUAACGGCUUACCAAGGCAACGAUGCGUAGCCGACCUGAGAGGGUGAUCGGCCACACUGGAACUGAGACACGGUCCAGACUCCUACGGGAGGCAGCAGUAGGGAAUCUUCCGCAAUGGGCGAAAGCCUGACGGAGCAACGCCGCGUGAGUGAUGAAGGUCUUCGGAUCGUAAAACUCUGUUAUUAUGGAAGAACAAAUGUGUAAGUAACUAUGCACGUCUUGACGGUACCUAAUCAGAAAGCCACGGCUAACUACGUG
RNAcentral lists this ribosomal RNA (496 nucleotides) under uncultured bacterium. RNAcentral describes it as "partial 16S ribosomal RNA". It matches the Rfam family "Bacterial small subunit ribosomal RNA", at positions 29 to 507 of the family's 1533-position model. The record is from RNAcentral.